GACGAACGCUGGCGGCGUGCUUAACACAUGCAAGUCGAGCGGUAAGGCCCUUUCGGGGGUACACGAGCGGCGAACGGGUGAGUAACACGUGGGUGACCUGCCCUCAGCUCUGGGAUAAGCCUGGGAAACUGGGUCUAAUACUGGAUAUGACUCCACGGUGCAUGUCGUGGGGUGGAAAGCCUUGUGCGGCUGAGGAUGGGCCCGCGGCCUAUCAGCUUGUUGGUGGGGGAUGGCCUACCAAGGCGACGACGGGUAGCCGGCCUGAGAGGGCGACCGGCCACACUGGGACUGAGACACGGCCCAGACUCCUACGGGAGGCAGCAGUGGGGAAUCUUGCGCAAUGGGCGAAAGCCUGACGCAGCGACGCCGCGUGAGGGAUGACGGCCUGU
RNAcentral lists this ribosomal RNA (389 nucleotides) under uncultured bacterium. RNAcentral's name for it is "bacterial SSU rRNA". It matches the Rfam family "Bacterial small subunit ribosomal RNA", at positions 28 to 419 of the family's 1533-position model. The record is from RNAcentral.